ACAUUGCUUUACCGUAUAGAUGUAUCAAUAUCUGAACGGCCAGUUAUGAUUUCUAGAGGCAACACCCCAAACGCAACCACAUUGGUCUUCAUUAGCUGUUCCAUUCAUAAAGAACUCGAAGCUAGAUAUCUGCAAAAAUAACGAAGGUUACAAUUCACAACAGCAAAAACGACAUUUAGAUUCUCAACAUUUAACUCUAAGAAAAAUCAAAAAGUGUAAUUUUUUAAAAAAGGAGA
Molecule: long non-coding RNA, 236 nt
Filed under: Brassica napus (rape)
Lineage: Eukaryota; Viridiplantae; Streptophyta; Magnoliopsida; Brassicales; Brassicaceae
Description: long non-coding RNA (BNAP_LNC011690)
Source: RNAcentral